ACUGGCUGGGAUGACACACUUGCCCUCACUGAGGCAGUUCAUGAUGAGAACUCUUGUUUGUACUCAUUUGUUCUGAGCCAGU
Molecule: small nucleolar RNA, 82 nt
Filed under: Phascolarctos cinereus (koala)
Lineage: Eukaryota; Metazoa; Chordata; Mammalia; Diprotodontia; Phascolarctidae
Description: Small nucleolar RNA SNORD103/SNORD85 (ENSPCIG00000014173.2)
Rfam family: Small nucleolar RNA SNORD103/SNORD85
About the family: This family includes the snoRNAs SNORD103 (U103) and SNORD85 (HBII-251) .
Source: Rfam by way of RNAcentral